GGGUUGUGAGGUUAAGUGACUAAGCGUACACGGUGGAUGCCCUGGCAGUCAGAGGCGAUGAAGGACGUGCUAAUCUGCGAUAAGCGUCGGUAAGGUGAUAUGAACCGUUAUAACCGGCGAUUUCCGAAUGGGGAAACCCAGUGUGUUUCGACACACUAUCAUUAACUGAAUCCAUAGGUUAAUGAGGCGAACCGGGGGAACUGAAACAUCUAAGUACCCCGAGGAAAAGAAAUCAACCGAGAUUCCCCCAGUAGCGGCGAGCGAACGGGGAGCAGCCCAGAGCCUGAAUCAGUGUGUGUGUUAGUGGAAGCGUCUGGAAAGGCGCGCGAUACAGGGUGACAGCCCCGUACACAAAAAUGCACAUACUGUGAGCUCGAUGAGUAGGGCGGGACACGUGGUAUCCUGUCUGAAUAUGGGGGGACCAUCCUCCAAGGCUAAAUACUCCUGACUGACCGAUAGUGAACCAGUACCGUGAGGGAAAGGCGAAAAGAACCCCGGCGAGGGGAGUGAAAAAGAACCUGAAACCGUGUACGUACAAGCAGUGGGAGCACGCUUAGGCGUGUGACUGCGUACCUUUUGUAUAAUGGGUCAGCGACUUAUAUUCUGUAGCAAGGUUAACCGAAUAGGGGAGCCGAAGGGAAACCGAGUCUUAACUGGGCGUUAAGUUGCAGGGUAUAGACCCGAAACCCGGUGAUCUAGCCAUGGGCAGGUUGAAGGUUGGGUAACACUAACUGGAGGACCGAACCGACUAAUGUUGAAAAAUUAGCGGAUGACUUGUGGCUGGGGGUGAAAGGCCAAUCAAACCGGGAGAUAGCUGGUUCUCCCCGAAAGCUAUUUAGGUAGCGCCUCGUGAAUUCAUCUCCGGGGGUAGAGCACUGUUUCGGCAAGGGGGUCAUCCCGACUUACCAACCCGAUGCAAACUGCGAAUACCGGAGAAUGUUAUCACGGGAGACACACGGCGGGUGCUAACGUCCGUCGUGAAGAGGGAAACAACCCAGACCGCCAGCUAAGGUCCCAAAGUCAUGGUUAAGUGGGAAACGAUGUGGGAAGGCCCAGACAGCCAGGAUGUUGGCUUAGAAGCAGCCAUCAUUUAAAGAAAGCGUAAUAGCUCACUGGUCGAGUCGGCCUGCGCGGAAGAUGUAACGGGGCUAAACCAUGCACCGAAGCUGCGGCAGCGACGCUGAUGCGUUGUUGGGUA
Molecule: ribosomal RNA, 1198 nt
Filed under: Escherichia coli
Lineage: Bacteria; Pseudomonadati; Pseudomonadota; Gammaproteobacteria; Enterobacterales; Enterobacteriaceae
Description: partial 23S ribosomal RNA
Rfam family: Bacterial large subunit ribosomal RNA
Source: RNAcentral